CUUUUUUUUAUUUUUUUUAUUUUUUUUUUUUUUCCCCCUUCCCCUCUUACGUUUCGUGUGAUUGCAGGUUACCUCUUAUUCAAAGACUACUGCGAGAAUGUGGCGGAGGAGCCGAUUCCGCAACUUAGGUUUUACGAAGAGAUCAAGGCGUACGAGAAACUCGAAUGCCCGGAAGAGAGGAGAAAACUUGCCAAAGAGAUCUACGACAAUUUCAUCAUGAAGGAGCUGCUGGCACACUCCCAUGUGAGUAAAAACAUCUGCCUCGUCCGCCUCUCUCGUCGCGGCUCCCUCCUUUCUCCGCUUUCUCUUCCAAAUUAUUCGAUUAUCCGAUAAUCGCACAAUUCGAUCGAGUUAGUUGGUUUUUCUCCGGUUCGCCUUCGAAUUUCACGGAGGGAACGAUCCUUUUAUCGAUUAAGUGCGUAGAAGAAUUUUAUUCCUACAUACGGAUACGUGAAUCGAAUGAAAAUCAAUCGAUAUUAUACGUGAUUACGUAUACGCGUAAAUGGAUCGUGUAAAAAUAACCACGUACGGAAUAUUUCUCCACACUCGAAAAAUAUGAAAAAUUCUUUAGAAAGAAUUUGUCAAAGAAUCGGCAGAAGAAUUGGCAAUUAUUUUUCUAAAUGUGGAAUAUCACCUUGAAACGUCCGUGAUCUAUUCAAACUCGUGCGCGCGCGCGUGUGUGUGUGUGUGUA
Molecule: long non-coding RNA, 692 nt
Organism: Apis florea (little honeybee)
Lineage: Eukaryota; Metazoa; Arthropoda; Insecta; Hymenoptera; Apidae
Gene: Gprk1
Source: RefSeq, a predicted model, not a curated record